CUCCUCAUCCGUGGUGAUUUGGCCGGUCGGCUUGCAGCCACGUAAAACAAUUCGCUAAAAGACCGAGCGAAGCAAAAG
This is a regulatory RNA element of Nitratireductor indicus C115, 78 nucleotides long. It matches the Rfam family "Alpha-proteobacteria SAM riboswitch aptamer". Rfam says of the family: This family is a riboswitch found predominantly in alpha-proteobacteria that binds S-adenosyl methionine (SAM). Lineage: Bacteria; Pseudomonadati; Pseudomonadota; Alphaproteobacteria; Hyphomicrobiales; Phyllobacteriaceae. The record is from Rfam.